Long non-coding RNA from Lynx canadensis (Canada lynx), 871 nucleotides. RefSeq lists it as uncharacterized. The record is from RefSeq and is a predicted model, not a curated record. NCBI's taxonomy places the organism in Eukaryota, Metazoa, Chordata, Mammalia, Carnivora, Felidae. The transcript is spliced from 4 exons.
UUCACUAAGAUAUGCAGGGAUGUCAAGUAUUCACUUGUAAACUGAAGCUUUGCACUUUUCUCUUUACUUAAACCCUCUGAAAUGCAAACACUCUCAGCUUUGACUGGAAUCUCCUAUUUGAGAGACAUGCACAGACUCAAAAAUGACCAUACAGCUUAAAGGAACUGAGGUUGACUUUAUGAAACAUCGACCCUUUGGAAAUGUUGGCCGGAUACCUUGUUUACAGAAUUCCCAUCAGCCUCACCAGACUCCGUCAGGACAAUCGUUUGAAACCCACAGAUGAGCCUUACUACUCAAGAAAACCCACCUUGGAUUCAGCUGCCUCCCACUUUUCUAUGUGCAGGAUAUAGCCCAUUCAAGGACUAGUACACCAGAGCCACUUUCCAAAUACCUGAAGAACUGAUAGAGACAACAGAGGACAGAGAAAAUGCCAUGUGAUGACCCAGGAAGAGCACCACAAUUGGCGCACAAUUGGUGAGAGACUUCAGGAGAAAUCAAACCAGGGAACACCUUGAACAUGGACGGCAGAACUGUGAGAAAAUAAACACUUUUUUUGAUGUAGCCUCCCACCGUGUGGUAUUAUGUUAUGGUAACCCUAGCAAAGAAGCACAAUCCUCAGGGACUCUGUCUCCCAAGUCUGUCCUCCCCUACAAAACAAAUAUUGAAUAUUAUUUUUGCUAUACCUGUGAUGUUUUUUUCUCAAACUGAAAAGUCUUUUUGAAUAUAAUUCAGAAGCAAAAAGCGUACUGAUGUAGGUCUUCCAUAAAAGCAAAGAGGCAUAAUGAGAACUUCUGAAAGGUGGGAAUAUCUAUACAUUGAUUCUGACACAUGUGCUACAUUAUUGUAGGCUCAUUGCCAGAGGGGCUCUGGU